GACGAACGCUGGCGGCGUGCCUAACACAUGCAAGUCGAACGGAACUGUUUUGACAGAUUUCUUCGGAAUGAAUUUGAUUUAGUUUAGUUGCGGACGGGUGAGUAACGCGUGAGUAACCUGCCUUCAAGAGGGGAAUAACAUUCUGAAAAGAAUGCUAAUACCGCAUGACAUAUCGGAACCACAUGGUUUUGAUAUCAAAGAUUUUAUCGCUUGAAGAUGGACUCGCGUCCGAUUAGUUAGUUGGUGAGGUAACGGCUCACCAAGACCGCGAUCGGUAGCCGGACUGAGAGGUUGAGCGGCCACAUUGGGACUGAGACACGGCCCAGACUCCUACGGGAGGCAGCAGUGGGGGAGAUUGCGCAAUGGGGGCAACCCUGACGCAGCAACGCCGCGUGAAGGAUGAAGGUUUUCGGAUUGUAAACUUCUUUUAUUAAGGACGAAAAAUGACGGUACUUAAUGAAUAAGCUCCGGCUAACUACGUG
This 482-nucleotide ribosomal RNA is filed under the name uncultured bacterium. RNAcentral describes it as "partial 16S ribosomal RNA". It matches the Rfam family "Bacterial small subunit ribosomal RNA", at positions 28 to 507 of the family's 1533-position model. The record is from RNAcentral.